Priapulus caudatus is the source of this 272-nucleotide long non-coding RNA. RefSeq lists it as uncharacterized. The record is from RefSeq and is a predicted model, not a curated record. Lineage: Eukaryota; Metazoa; Priapulida; Priapulimorpha; Priapulimorphida; Priapulidae. The transcript has 3 exons.
UUGCCAUCAUCAUCGUCAUCGUGACGGCUGUAACACAUUGUUGUGCGAGUGUAUGCGCUCUAACAAGAUACGCGGUUUCUUCUGUUCCAGCCAGCAUACUUGGACGUCAUCAACGAAAGUCACAUGCACUGUGUUCCACUGGGUUCAGAGACUCACUUCAAGGUUGUCGAUGUAUCGCAGAAGGUUGACGAUCUGCCGCUGAUAAAGCGUCAUCGGCUGGUGAAUGAGAUCGUGAAGGAGGAGCGACCAUGCACGCUCUCUCCAUUACCGUG